This 547-nucleotide long non-coding RNA is filed under the name Equus caballus (horse). Its description in RNAcentral is "lncRNA (ENSECAG00000055963.1)". The record is from RNAcentral. Lineage: Eukaryota; Metazoa; Chordata; Mammalia; Perissodactyla; Equidae.
CUGGCCUCUCUCUGAGCCUUGUAUCAUCCAUAGGGAUGGGAGGGUAGAGGCGCUCCGUGUGCUGCUGGUCCGCAUGUAGCCUGGCACGGCCUUCUGGAGGGCAACUGCGCUCUGCUUAGUAGCAUCUGAUAUUUGUAUAUCUCAAGCCCUAGAAAUUUUGCUCCUGGGCGUUUAUCCCAAAGAUGCAUGCACAAGGGGAUGGAGAAGAGAGCUUAUGGCCUGAGGAUAACUUGCAAUCCUAAGAUGGAUAACCUGCAAUACAAGAAGUCAGUGGUGUGCCUGGAAUAUGCCCAGAGUGCUGAGAGUACAGGCUGUAACAGGCCUGGGGUAGACUGAAUGUGCCUGAAGUCAUCAAAAUGACAGUCUCAUUCAUGAUCAACCUGGGGCUCAAAACAUGGAAUUAAUUAUGGGCCAAGAAGACCAAAUUCCUUUUGUACUUUUCAUUUGGAUGUGAAGCGACCUCAAUGGCCACAUGUUUAAUGUGGCAGUGUCACAAGAUGAAAGGAGCUUGGGUGCUUAAGUCACCACUCAGAGAAGAAUUGCCCAG